CAGUCGCCGCGGUAAUACGAAGGGUGCAAGCGUUAAUCGGAAUUACUGGGCGUAAAGCGUGCGUAGGCGGUUUGUUAAGUCUGCUGUGAAAUCCCCGGGCUCAACCUGGGAAUGGCAGUGGAUACUGGCAAGCUAGAGUGUGUCAGAGGAUGGUGGAAUUCCCGGUGUAGCGGUGAAAUGCGUAGAGAUCGGGAGGAACAUCAGUGGCGAAGGCGGCCAUCUGGGACAACACUGACGCUGAGGCACGAAAGCGUGGGGAGCAAACAGGAUUAGAUGCCCCUGUAGUCCCUGUCUCUUAUAC
This 301-nucleotide ribosomal RNA is filed under the name uncultured bacterium. RNAcentral's name for it is "partial 16S ribosomal RNA". It matches the Rfam family "Bacterial small subunit ribosomal RNA", at positions 509 to 807 of the family's 1533-position model. The record is from RNAcentral.